RNAcentral lists this unclassified non-coding RNA (404 nucleotides) under soil metagenome. RNAcentral's name for it is "partial contains 5.8S ribosomal RNA, internal transcribed spacer 2, and large subunit ribosomal RNA". The stretch from base 1 to 122 matches the Rfam family "5.8S ribosomal RNA", at positions 35 to 154 of the family's 154-position model. The record is from RNAcentral.
GAUGAAGAACGUAGCAAAAUGCGAUACUUGGUGUGAAUUGCAGAAUCCCGUGAACCAUCGAGUUUUUGAACGCAAGUUGCGCCCGAAGCCUUUUGGCCGAGGGCACGUCUGCCUGGGCGCCACGCAUCGCGUCGCCCCCCACAACUCUCCGUAAAGGGAACUUGUGUUUUGGGGGCGGAUAUUGGUCUCCCGUGCUCAUGGCGUGGUUGGCCGAAAUAGGAGUCCCUCCGGUGGACGCACGAACUAGUGGUGGUCGUAAAAACCCUCGUCUUUUGUUUCGUGCCGUUAGUCGCGAGGGAAACUCUUUAAAAACCCAAAUGUGUCGUCUCUUGACGGCGCUUCGACCGCGACCCCAGGUCAGGCGGGACUACCCGCUGAGUUUAAGCAUAUCAAUAAGCGGAGGA